This 454-nucleotide ribosomal RNA is filed under the name uncultured Parabacteroides sp. RNAcentral describes it as "partial 16S ribosomal RNA". It matches the Rfam family "Bacterial small subunit ribosomal RNA", at positions 341 to 792 of the family's 1533-position model. The record is from RNAcentral. Lineage: Bacteria; Pseudomonadati; Bacteroidota; Bacteroidia; Bacteroidales; Tannerellaceae.
ACGGAAGGCAGCAGUGAGGAAUAUUGGUCAAUGGGCGGAAGCCUGAACCAGCCAUCUCGCGUGCAGGACUACGGCCCUACGGGUCUUAAACUGCUUUUAUGGGGGGAUAAAGUCGGGCAUGCGUGUCCGUUUGCGGGUACCCCAUGAAUAAGGAUCGGCUAACUCCGUGCCAGCAGCCGCGGUAAUACGGAGGAUCCGAGCGUUAUCCGGAUUUAUUGGGUUUAAAGGGUGCGCAGGCGGCCCGUUAAGUCAGCGGUGAAAUGUCGGGGCUCAACCAGGGCACUGCCGUUGAAACUGGGGGGCUUGAGUACGGAUGAGGUCGGCGGAAUGUGACGUGUAGCGGUGAAAUGCAUAGAUGUGUCACAGAACACCGAUUGCGAAGGCAGCCGGCCAAUCCGCAACUGACGCUCAUGCACGAAAGCGUGGGGAUCGAACAGGAUUAGAUACCCUGGUA